This 372-nucleotide ribosomal RNA is filed under the name uncultured organism. RNAcentral's name for it is "bacterial SSU rRNA". It matches the Rfam family "Bacterial small subunit ribosomal RNA", at positions 526 to 896 of the family's 1533-position model. The record is from RNAcentral.
CAGAGACUGCGAGCGUUAUUCGGAUUCACUGGGCGUAAAGGGUGCGCAGGCGGCUGAGUGUGUCAGGUGUGAAAGCCCGAGGCUUAACCUCGGAAUUGCGCCUGAAACUACUCAGCUAGAGUAUUGGAGAGGGUAGCGGAAUUCACGGUGUAGCAGUGAAAUGCGUAGAUAUCGUGAGGAACACCAGAGGCGAAGGCGGCUACCUGGACAAUUACUGACGCUCAGGCACGAAAGCGUGGGGAGCAAAAGGGAUUAGAUACCCCUGUAGUCCACGCCCUAAACGGUGCACACUAGGUCUUGCCGGAUUCGACCCCUGCAGGGCCCAAGCUAACGCGUUAAGUGUGCCGCCUGAGGACUACGGCCGCAAGGCUA